Acinonyx jubatus (cheetah) is the source of this 6616-nucleotide long non-coding RNA. RefSeq lists it as uncharacterized. Lineage: Eukaryota; Metazoa; Chordata; Mammalia; Carnivora; Felidae. The record is from RefSeq and is a predicted model, not a curated record. The transcript has 9 exons.
ACAUGGAACAAAAUGAAAAAAUUGAAAGUUAGGUGUUCUGGUCAGAUUUUGAGAUUACAAAAUUGUAAUAGGUGCUGAAAACUGUAACCUACAGCCAGAAUAUUCAUGCCUCCCUUCUUCAGAAAAAUGCUGAGCUCAAGUGAGAAAACCUUGGUCUUCAUUGUCUCCUAAAAUUUCAAUCCACCUUUAAAAUUGUGGACUAUGGAGGUAAAGCAACUAAGAGGGAGAAGAUCCAGCAGUCAGUGCUUCUGAUCAAUAUCAGCUAUCAGUCCGAACAAUUCCCACCAAUUAACCUCUUUUUCCUCCAAAUUCAUUUCUGUCCUCUGAGUUUUCAGAUAAUGGCUUCAAGUUUCUUCAUCUUAUAAAAAGCAGGCUUAUUUUAAUAUGGGUUCGUGUUUGUGAAGCACGGAUUUUACUUAGGUCUUUUCUUAAAAGAACAUUUCUGACCCAGCGUGAAUCACUGGACAUCGUGCCGUGUGAUUGGAACCAUCAGAUUCCUUCACGUUACAACAUGACUGCUCUUCAGGACAUGUUGGCUGUUCACCUUUUGCCCUGGCUUUGCAUAAGGAAUAUGAAGUGUGCUUGCAAACAGAACCUUGUUAGUGGGCAAUAGUUUCUUCCUCCUGGAAACCCAUGUCAAAGGAUUCUCAUUCUCAUCAUUUUGUUUUCAGUUUUGAGCCUGGGGUGAUGGAAAGCUUCUGGAUUCCAGAGUCUGCAGGAUAUGGGUUUGAAGAUCUGCUGCGUGAUCGUGGACAGGAUGAAUCUUUCCCUGGUACUUACUCAGGAUCUUGUUGAUGGAACAUGGAGGAAAAAUACAUUAUGCAUUUCAUGUGGAAAAAAGCUCUAACCAGGUUGUGCAAAAAAUCCUUACAUUGAAUUUUGGCUCACAAAGAACCCAAGAGUGCAUUCUCACAUUGGAAUCCUGUCAAAGAAGAGAUCGGGAGCUCUAUGUAUAGAGAGGCAGAAGAGGAGCUCAGCCUAAGGAGGGAGUGCUAAACUGCCACAUAUAGGAGCAGCUGAUUAAAGCAUCAAAGAACCAAAAUGAAAGCAACAGUGAAGCCUUAGAGAUGACAUCUGCAAGAGGCUAAGCCAGAGCAGGUGCUGCCACCCUUAAUCCACUCCCCCCAUGGAAUGGCGUCCUGGUGGAGGGUCGGCUGAAUCGGCACUGAUGGGGAGGUGGUCUGGUCCUGGAGGGAGCCCUUAACAACAGGUUCUUGCAAUUUUAUGAAUGCUGGUGGAAGAAGAGGGAUGCUGAGGGGGAGGGGGAGGAGUAGAAAACUCCUGGGUACUCCGUCAGAGUAGAAAAACUUGUUUUCAGGCUUUUCCCUUUUCUCCCCCCCAUGAGGAAGGCGUGGCAGAAGUACCUGAAGACCUUGGAUAAAGAGACCUAGGAAUGAAGAUGCAUAGCUAGGAAAGCAAAUAUACAGAGUAUGGCCAGAGCAGCCAGAGUCCUUGACUAUGUCUCCUUUCAGAGGCUGCCCGGUGGUGUUGGCUGUACCCAGGCAGGUGUGGGGAGGACAGCUUUCCUCCAUGAGGCCUGCCAGAACGAUGCUGGUUUCCCUAGUGCAAAACACAGUGCCUGGCACACGGCAACAGAGACUGAGAAGUUUGCCCGCGGUCACAUGGUUGGCGCAUGUAGGAUGGAAAUCAUGAGUCCAGGCAGGUGCUCCAGAGCUCAGUCUUGGUAACCAUCAAACCUCUAGUGAUUCCCAAGUGUUCAUCUCCAGAACCGGCUUGUCUCCUGAGGGUCCACUGACUGCAGCCUUCCUGGGAUGACUGUAGACCUGGACACUUGGUCCUAUCUCUGUGCUCCCUAUGGUCAUCUAGAACUGCCCAGGGAGGAAAUUGAAGAAGGGUCUGGUGAGCCCGCAGGAGGGAAAGAAGGAAUGGGGAGGCCCCACACAUGAGCCUAUUUCUUCUCCUUCCCACCUCCCCCAACAGCACUUCAUUCCAAACAACCUGGGACCCAAAGACCCUAUGAAUUUCCUUGUGCUUCUGUCUCCUGUGCUCUCACUUCCUCUGUUACCAUGACUUGUUCCUCAAUCUCAAUUAGGCUCCACACUCAGCAUGGAGCCCAACGCGGGGCUUGAACUCACCACCCUGAGAUCAUGACCUCAGCCGAAAUCAAGAGUCGGAUGCUCAACUGACUGAGCCACCCAGGUACCCUGCUCCUCUGGCUUCUUAAUGCUGUUCAUGUCCUCCUCCAGCAGGGACGACCACUGCCCAAAUUUCUGGUCCCUUCCUCACUUUCUGGGCCCACUGAGGCAGUGUCCUUUGGGUGUCUCCAUCAACUAGAGCAGUAUCUAACCCACGCUGGAUAAAACACAGACUGCUGGGCCCCUGCCCAGAUUCUGACUCACUGGGCCUGGAGCAGGGACUGGGAACGUGCCUGAUGCCACGUCACAGUGCCUACGUCACUUACCUCACUUCAUCUCAUCACAUGGGCAUUUGUUAUCUCAAAUCAUCAGCAUCAGCAUCAUCGGAGUGGGCCUGAUGUCACUGAAAUGGGCAGAUUCUGGAUUCAGACCUCCUGGUGGGACCCUACCUCCCCAAACCACCCACUGAUGAGACCUUGGACACGCAACACAGUCUCUCUGAGCCCGAGUUCUCCUUUUGGAAGGAUGGGGCUGGGAUAUCAUUCAACUUCAUUGGAUUAAAGCCCAGAUGAAUAUUGUCACACAUAUUUUACAUUUGAGCAAAGGAUUUGAGGAAGAUGAACCUUCAGAUAUACAUCAAGUGGUGCAGUAGGUGCCAAGCUGUCAUGUAGCCUUGAUCUUGAAAACAGAAGACUAUGCCCAGUUAUGUGCCCUCUAGGGGUCAUACUUUUCUUCCUGAAUCCCCUGUGCCGUUCUGGGCAUCAGGCCAUUUCAUCCGGUGAUAGGGCAUCUCCAGGAGGAAAGGGGAAUCUCUCCCCAAAAUGCUGUCUCUGGGCUCCCGAGUUCCCAGCAGUGUAACAGAAUGUGGACAAGAUGCUCCAGCAGUGAGUGGGAAAGGACCUUUCAGCCACCUCAGAGUUGCAUCAGCCAAGGAUUCUCUGAGUCAGCACUGGCCUGGACUCUGACAUUAUAACUCUCGAUUGUCUCCAAUCUGACAUCAGCCCAUCCCCAGGAUGGCUGUGUAAGACACUGGUUCUGGAGCCCGUGACCUCAGGGGCCCUGACACUAUUCCCCUUCUACCUUCACACUUCUGCCUUGGAAGCAAUGCCUUGAAGUCCUUCCUUCUUUCUUUCCAAGCCUCCAUCCAUUUCCUGUCACAGAAGGAAUGACAAUUGCUUUCAAGAGUCCAACACCGUUCAGUCACAUGCCAAUAGCAAUGGAAAGAAUGAUCCCGAACAUAGUGGUCCAUGCAUACAGUAGGUUUUCUUAGUGUAAUUUUAUAGAUGAGGACACUGAGGCUUAGAGAGGCUAAGUGACUUGCUCAAGGACACACAGCUGAGCCAGAGAUAGAUCCCAGGUCUGUCUGAUUCCCAACUAAUGAAUCUAUAGGUAUGAGCAUUAUUUUGGGAAUCAUUAGCUGGAACAGAAAGGACAGGAAGGAAUGCAUUUGGGUGCACAGGUUGUGAUACUAGUGACUCCAUCGGGGACGACCCAGAACCCAGGCAAAAAUACAUCCAGAACAAUUUAUGGAACUGCAUUUUCUAGGAACCCUCUGUCUGUCUAGGUCCUUCUAUUUACUUCCUCCCUUGGUUCCCUUCCUGUCACGCAUAAGGCCAAGAUAUCAGGUCCCUGUGAUACAUUAGGUGGGGUCUCUGUCCUUGUAGAUGCUGCCACUGAUUGGACCCUGAGGGGCAGAAAUGGGAACUUCCUGGGGUCCAGAGCUUAGUAGGUACCAGCCCGUUAUAGUCUCUUAAUUACUGUUUUUUACAUGGAUGUUCACUAGACAUGUUCAACAUGACAUCUGCCGUUCACCACUACCUUCGAAGGCUAUCAGUCCCACCCACAACAGGUCACUCUGACAUAGUUCCCUAAAUAAAGAGUUGCUACUUACUAGAUUGGUAGUAAAUAUUUGACUUGAAGGCAGCCAAUUCGUAGGCUGGCCACUGAGCCAUAAUGAAGAUUGGCCUGAAAAGUAAGGGCAAUGGUAAUCAGCUAGAAUAGCCAGAUUUUCUCCUUUUGGAAUGUCACUCAGAAAAUACAGAAAGCAAGCCAGUUUGUCAGAGAACAAGAAGACAUAAAUAGAAGGAGAGAACAAACGGAAAAAUCCCAGCAUUGGUGAUGCCUUGAAUUGAAGACAACAAACUGGCUUCUUUUGUGGUCCAGUCUCUUUUGUUGACUGUGCGUCCUGACAAUAAGUGUUUAUUUUUUGAGACAGCUUAAAAGAGUCUCUGUUUCUAGCAAACCCCAAAGAACUCUUUCUGAGGUGGGUAAGAGACAGUUCUGCUUUGGGGGUGCUGGCUUCUCACUAACACAUAAUUUACUGCUCCUACCUUGGCCUCGCCUGACUCUGUGCUUGGUUCUGGGUCAGGUUGGUAUAUUUUCUUUCCAGAUCCCCUUGUGCUGUUCUUGGCCUCUUCCCAAGGUAGGGCAGGUAGCUCCAUGGCCUCCUUCAGCAUGGAGGCCUGCCAGGUCCUAACGUGGGGGCACCACGCUCCAGGGAUGGAUGCUGCAUCACCGGACAGUGGAGAAUGUUAAUAAGAGCCACCUCCUACUACCUGCUCCGUCACGGUUUUCUCUUUACAACGCUUCCUCUGACAGCCUGAGUUUGUUUCUUCCUCUGGGGCUGCUGCUCUGGAAGCCACCUAUCUGUCUCAGGUCUGGGGCCCUCUUGUUUAUUUGGGUUUCUCUCUGGGUCUCACCUGGCUUCCAGUUUCCUGUGUCAUCCUUUGGUCCAUCCAAGAUCUCCCUGGGGAGACCAGCCACAUCAGCAAAAGGAAAAUGAAAUGAGCAGGGAGACUGACCCCCUAAAACUGCAUGAUGAAGGGAUUUGCAAGCCUUGUGCAUUUUGGAAGAUUCCAUUCCUAGAGACUGGCGUAACUCUCUGGUUAAUUUAAAACCAAAGUAGGGGGUGAAGACUAUUUUCUAGAGCAUUCUGUUCUUCAUGGAUGAGGAAACUGAAGAUCAUAAAAGCCAAACCCCUUGCCUAAAGUCACACAGGAGGGUAGUUUCAGAUCCUCUAAAGAACCCUGAAAUCCUGACCCCUGCUGCAUUGCCUCUCUAUCACAGACCUUUCCUGAAGUGUUUUAUUGAAGGUGUAAGCCACAAAAAGAAUCAGUUUAGUGAGGUUGUUAAGGAGGGAGGAAGGGGAGGUGUGUCUGUACAAACUGUGUGCCACAUGUGUUAUUGAUACUUCCUCAUGUAAUCACCCCAUGAUAUGCUUAUUAUUGUGCCCACUUAAUAAAAAAUAAAACUGAGGCUCAGGGAGGUUGGGUAAUGACAACGAUCACGGCUAUCACUUACUGAGCACCUGCUAUAUGCUAGUUCCCAGUGACGUGCAGAUACCACUCAACCCUGCUCACAACAGCCCUUUCAGGUAAAUACUAUCACUAAGUGAAUUCCCUAAGGACACACAGCUUGGAUUUGAAUCAGGUCCUAUCACCCUGACAGCUGCCUUUGAGCUGAAGCAGAUGUUCUUAGAGAAAAUCAAACUUUUAUGUAAAAAUGUGUGGGAAACUUUACUGAACUAGCAUCAAGUAUGCAAACAUGUUAACUGCAUUUGUAUCUUAGGAAAACAAACAAAAAUCUCUGAUAGGUGGAUUGGCAAGGUUUAUUUCAUGUUUGUUUCCCUGGUCCAGUUAGCUGGUAGGGUUUAGCAAGUGUUAUUGAACGGAUAAAUGAAUGAAUAUCAGGUAUUUCUAUUGCACUGUCAUGAACUGAGUUUGUGACUUUGAGCAAUGACUUGGUUUCUCUGAGCCUUUACUUCCUACUUGCAAAAUGCAGGGGAGAAAAAGAAAGAGGCAUGAAGUCCUAACCAGUCAGCUUAACUUCUGUGCUGAAUUUUUGGGAGGGCCUUGAACCACCACCUUGGGGCUUUCAGAGUGCUGGGGGAAGAGUGCAAGGUCUGAGCCCACUCUUUCAGAGUAAUAUUCCCUUUACACCAGGUCUUGUCAGGAAUCACUCCUUAGGAGUCAAGCUGGUCUUAACUAGGUGGGACCAUGAUCUUUAUUCCCUGGUAAUUGGCCUACAAAUAUGUUAUGGCACAUUGCAAAACGAACUUUGUAGUUGGAGUUAAAGUUGCUAAUCAGCUGAUCCUAAAAUUGAAAGAUUGUUCUGGAUUAUUCAAGUGGCCCAGAUAUAGUCCCAUGGGUCUUUAUAGUCAGAGGAAUAAAAUGAAACAGUUAGUUAGAAUUUGUAAAAGAUAAGGAGGCAGAAGAGAUAGAAAGGAUACACCUUGAUGAGGACCACACCCACUGUUGCUGGCUUUCAAGAUGGAAGAAGGGGCCAUGGGCCAAGGUAUACAGGCAGUCUCUAGAAGUUGUGAGCAGCUCCUGGAAGGUAGCCAGCAGGGAAAUGGAAAGCUCAGGUCUACAACUGCACAGAACUAAAUUCUGCCAAUAACUGAAUAUCCUAAGAUACAGAUUCUCCCUUGGCCUCCAGAAGGGAAUACAGGUCAGCAAGAUGACCAAAUGGGACAUCCCUCACAGCUAUCUUACCCUUAACAAGAGCAAUUUGGCCUCCAC